CAACAGUGCAUACCCAGCUGCAAAUCUACAUAUAAAUCAUUCUUUUUCAGUAUCUGCCCAAUAUAUCUUGGUUUGAAUUCAUCCUUCCUCCAGUUAAUAAAUACCUCAGGGUCUUCCUUCUGCCCACUGAGUACCUGGGAGUCUAUGGUCAAAGCACCCCUAGUUUGACAUCUCAGAUACCCUGAGUUUAGACACCUCAUUUAGGUGCUAUCAGUAAAUGGGAUGAAGCCAGCCUUUGUUUCAGCUGUUUUUUUUUUUCUUUCAUUUCCCCCAUCAGCAGAGAUCCGAUUUUUCUCAGGAUGAGUUCUGCUGUGUCUGAAUUCCUCUUUGUGCUCUUCCCAGCAUUCCAGGCAGUGCUGCACUGCAGCAGCACACCCCUCUUUGGAAUGUUAUUCCCUCAAGACUCCCAUGGCACAGAGAGAUGGCGACAAAGCAGCAUCAAGCAAUUGCCUCCUGGCUAGCGUUCUCGGCAAACUCUCAUGACUAUUGACUCAAAUGAGCAGCCCAGCAAGGAAAGAAACCAUUCGAUUCACAGAUUAUCAAGUGAAUCCCAAGACCAGCAUCACUGUGCUGACCAAGAGGAGCAGUCUGCAGCUUCCAGCUUUGCCCACCUUGCCCAGCCUGCAGUAUCAAUAACAAGGACAAAGGGCUCCACUCUGCGAUGCCAGCACAAACAUACAUCAGCAGCUGCACAGCACUUUAAAGACUAAGCAAGAAGCUAUCAAGCAAUUACUUAUUCCAUUUUAGAUCCACGUUCAUUAUUAUCAUGGAGCAAGUUUGAAGUUGGGGGAAUAUAAGUCUGAGAAAGCAAAUACACAUUUUGCAACCUGAGCAACUCACCUAAGAAGUAAACUCACCUACCUUUAAUUAAAGAGACAAGACCUGUAGAUAAAAAAGAAAAAUUUCUCAUCUAUGGAUAAAUCCAUAAAGAGUACUUGUGUCUUUACUCUCAUUAAAGCAGUGAGUUUUGAUAUGAUGGAGCACUGUCAGCCUUAUUCCUGCAGCGUAGUUGGGGUCAGGUGCAAUUCUAGCUGCUCCUAUGCUUGUAUAGCACUGUGUGUGGGCUGGUUUCAUUCAUGAUGUAGUCCCUAAAACACUAGUAGAGCUGUGCUGAAGAUGAAUCAGUCCUGUAGGAAAAGGUGAACAAAGAAAUUAAACUGGAAAUUUUUACCCCCAAAAUUAACAUUUUUUUUUCCUGGUGAUCCCAAAUUUGUGUUGAUUUCAAGUGUGUGUGUGUGAAAUUCACGUUAUUGCAGACAACUGACUUUUCAUAUAAACAAGAGUACAUUUGUUGUUUGGCCUGAAGCAUGUAGUGAAUCCACUGAUUAACAAGCUUCACAUAAUAUAAGCAGCACUGGAACCACUGAAGCACCUUCACCUAAGAGAAGUCUGUAUAAUUGAGGGAAUAAUUGAGGGAAUGCUGGUGGUGUCCCGCAAGUGAAAUCAGCAAAGCAAAACAGUAUCUCAAUGAAAAGACAGCAAAAUAUCAAACAGUCUCACUCAAACUUAAGAGAAGAGAUGGUCUUUCUCAUUUGCCCUCAAGUUAACUUUUUGCCUGCAUGGCUUUUACUUUUUCAAAGGAAGUACUACACUAAGUAAUUAGAGGAAAGAGCAAGAAAACAUAAAAAACUUCAGGUCAUAACAUACCUAAUAUAAAAGUUUUAGGUCAUAACUUUCAGACACUUCACAGUUUUCAGUCUCUUCAGCUACCUGAAACACAUGCUUCCCUGUAUUUUCCUAGGGAAGAAAAAAAAAAUCAAUUUUUUUUGCCUGACAGGAAUGAAGGAGAGUUUUUUGUACACGCAGUUAGAUAUGUCAGGUCACAGUGGAUGCUGAGCUCAGGUAUUCUGACAGAACAGCACUGUCAAACUCAUAUGCUUCCUGCUGAAUGUCCUCUGAAGCAAAGACAUGGGACUGCAGAGAAGGGCUUUUUUGAGUCUGCUUUCAGUCUUUCACCCCCAACACAGUGACACAUCUGCAGCAAGUCCUGCUUCCAGGUGGAUUCCAGGGUUGAAUCUCCCCCACUUACACUGCAGUGACGCGUGAGAAAGAUCACUCAAGCUCUUUGGUUAUUUAUUACUUGGUGUUUUAUCAGGCCUCCUUUAUUAACACACUCGUAAGUGCAUGUAAUUGAUUAAAUGUUUCCAGGGUUAGAAUUUCAUAAAGUCAUGCUAUAGACCAAGCAUAUCCUCAUCUACCAGAGCAAUUUGGUAAUAUUGCUUUGGAAGGAGGAGGUGUGAACAGGUCUGGGAGCAUCCCCAGUAGCCAAGCCUGCAGUCACCUCUCCCUUUGCUUUUCCACCCUUGUCCCAGGGCCAUUUCUCUGAAAGCACACCUUUACUAGUGGGAACAGAAAAGGAGAGGGCAGGAUGGUUUGGGAAUACUGCCUGGCUUUGCAUAAUCUGGUUGUUCAGUCAUUCACCCAAGAUGUCAGAGGAUCGGUCCUAAUCCCCAAGUUAUAAACCAGCAUCAGCAUGGGAGACAGCCGUGUGCAUUUCUGGAGACAUGGGGUUGGAUGUCAGCUUCAGGGAGACGUGUACAGAUCUGCGUACCAGCAGAGCAGAGACAGGCAUCAACUCAGGGCUGAGGAUUUCCCCAGACACUGUAAAAUUAGGUUACUUUAUAUGUUUUUAUCCCUGUAGACUUUUUCAAAAAUCUGUCUUUGCUUCUAAAACAUUUUCAAGUAAAGAAAGAUAUUGUGGAAGGAUUCCAUAUGUGAGCAAUUUGUAGCAGAUAGCUUUUUUUAAUGAAAGACGUAUUUUGUUUUAUUUUUUUUCUGUCUAGAAAAACACAGCUACUUUUUCAUCCUUGAUUCUGGGAGUGGAAAGUAUAAUUUAUCCCUAUGCGGUGUCAUCAGCUUUAUUUUUUGUGUGCAAACAAACAAGGAUGUUUUAGGAUAAGCAACUCUCAACAACAAACUUGAUGAAACUGGUUCUGCUUCCAAAGUACUCCUAAAAAUGUCAAGAGGAUGAAGCAAGGUUGUCAUUAGUCCAAUCUCCCAUUAUGUUCAAUGAUUAGGGUGUGAAUUUACAGGCUAGAAUUAACCUCUCUCUCAGAAGGAUGGAAAGAGGAUCUGUGCUCCAUGUUGACCUUCAUCCUCUCCACCCCUUCAUGGAGCAAAACACAGUGCAGAAGUUAGAUCAUCCCUUGUCUUGUCUUCCGCAAAUUACUUUCUAUUUCUAAGCCCUCUGCACCCAAAAGCUUUGAAAAAAAUAAGCAAUUCAAAAUGGCACUGAGAAAAGGCACCUCCAGUACACUGCAAGAUCUCUGCCUUGCAGAGAAAUAUCUUUCAGGGGAAGAGGAACUGGUUGAGUACCUAACAAGAAAUCAAGGUACCUUCUCCACUAUACUUUUUGUUGUUUCUCGCCUUUUAUAUGUAGGAAGAGAAAUAAAGACUUCUACAUGAGAGGAAAUAAAAUUAGCAAUUAAAGGUAAGUUGAGUGCCAUGUGUUUUUUGUAGCAAGAUUUUUCUUUGAGGAAAACAGUCCCCGUCAACUCAAAAUAAGUUUUGUUACAGUUUAGGGUAGUACCUAUAGAUCUCCCAGUAUGCAAGAAAAGGUUUCAAAAGGUUGUAUUAUCAUUUCAUGUAUGACAGCAGCUGAGAGAGACAGCACAAGGCCCUAGGCUGUAGAGAACAGCUUGAUCCUGUAUUCCUGGAAACCCUUAGAAAUUCUGCAAAAAGCCUAGGCCAGUUUUACUGAGAAUGCUGGAUUAGGCUAAGAAGAGAUACUUAACUUGCUGGGGUGCUUUCUAGCUUCUUUUAAGUUUCUGACUUGUGGUUAGAGGUUAAUGGAUGUGUUUAAUUGGUGAUCAAACUGUGUUGUGCUGUAGGCACGUCAAGUGUUUUUUGGGGAUAAAACCUGACUUUAAGCAUUUCUACGCAUCACGCGUAUGCAAGAAAAUGAUGGCAAGGUGAGGAACAAUUCUGGCUGUAUUAGUGCCAAAUAUAAAAUUUCCUUUGAAUUCAGCUUUCCAAGUAAAACUUGCAAAUUUCUUCGUUUGGAUACAGUAUCCUUUGUUUCAAGCAGAGAAGGUCAUGUGUGCCUCAAAUCAAUAGGUUCACAUAAAGCGUAUAAAGAGGUAAGUGCUCAACCAUUAUUGCUAAAGCUGUGGUUUCCUUAUAAGAAAGGCUAGCCCUGACUGCAAAGUCUAUUGCGUGACAAGAUCACAAAGACUAAUCAAUCACUUCAGCAGCCAGCACCAUAUAGGGAAUUUGGAGUACAACGCUCAUCUCUGACCUGCACUGUGGAUCACCCAGUGUUCUGCAGUCACUCUACAUACAGCAUUUGUUGACAUCAACAGGGCUGACAGAAAAAUAUGUGUCAAGGUGACCCUAACUUCUGCUUUGAUUAAAUGAGUUUAUAAUUUGUCACUUUGCGGGGGUGGGGGGGGAAAGCAAAUAUAUAUCAUUAACCUCUUUUGAAAGAACUGCACCUCAAUCAAGUGCAAUUAUUUUUUUAGAUGAAACCAUCCUGACCUCUCCUUGUACUAACAAAUAUUAUCUUAGCUCGAAUCUGGUAUCAGUAAAAAGAUGUUUAGUGUAUUGACCUGAAAUAAAUUAUGUCAGGACUUGUUUGUGUGGUGCAUUCAGGAGAGUGCUCUGUGUCCUCCUUUGGAAUUACUUGCAAGUAAAAGCCAUACACUUACAAAUGACUGAAUUCCUAAGGUCUGUAUCUUUGUAAAACUAGAUUUUCUAUGAGUUUCCACUAAUACAUUACCGAAUCCUUAGCAAUUCACAAAUAUCCAGACCUAUUUUUUUCACUUUAGCUUUUUUUUUUUUUUUAAUAACAAAAAGGACAACAGUAAAACUAAGAAGAUACAUAACCUUAAGCUAUGUGACGUGUCAAAACACAUUUAAAUAGAUGCCAAAAUUGGAGUGAUCUUGUUCUAUUCUUAUCCGGGCAUCAUUUUGCUCAAUCAGAACUUUAACGUUCCUUUCCUAUCCCGGGUGUAAGACCAUGCUAUUCACACUGGUUUCCAAGUAUGACAGAUUCCAGCCCAAUCUGAUACUGCAGUGACUGUUCAUUUCCCACUGGUGAUCACCCCCUCAUCUUAUGGUUUGCAAAGAAAAACAGAGAGGCAUCAGAAGACUCUAUAAUAACAACGUACACUUCACAUACAGCCAUAUUCCAGCACUAAAACACUGUGGUCUGCUUUUUUACUUUGCCAUUUUGUUUGACGUGAAUCAGAAAGAAUAUUCGGAGACCAGUUUUAUUUCUUGAGUUUGUUUUCUUCAUUUUUUUUUCAGCAUAUUUUGAGCCAAGAUCAUUUGUAUGGAUCACCCUGUGCAAAUUUGCAGGUACACAGAGAAAAAAGGUACAUAUUUCUAAAGAACAGAUUGGAAAAAAAAAUUGAAAAUUCAGUUCUUUGAAAACUCUGAGUACUUUCUUCAUUACGUAUAAUUUGGACUGUACUAAUGCAUUUGCUUGUGCACGUACCUCAUACAUCAGUUGCUACGACAUUUUCACUUGUGUUUUCUGCUGUACAACUCUAUCUGUUGCUUUCUCACUAUUCUUUAAAAAGUUUUGGAUCGAACCCUGGUUGCAAUGCACAAGUUUUAUCAAAAUCUGCAGCUGUUUUCCAUUGACUAUAUAGAACGGGAUUUAUGUUUCAUCAGUGAAUGUACACUGACUCUCUUGAUUAUACACACGUACACUUCAUACGUGCAGGCAGGAAAAAGAUCUUUUCUCAGGAAGCAAGAACAAAACACCUAGACAUACGAGCACAUACUCCAUACGUCAGUGAGAAAGACGACUUUGACACAGGGGCUAUCCCAGAUCUUGUAGCUGUCACUUGCACAGCACAGGCAGAGAUAAGGAGGAAGCUGUAAUAUAAACGAAGAGAGGAGACUCGCCUUGUGCUUCAGUUUAAUUUGCCAGAAUGUUUUCUCUCCAGCCAGCACACCGUUCGUGGUGCUGGGUCCGAGGAGUGAUGCUGUACUAGGGCUGCAGUGAUGGAUAAACAGGGAAUCUGGCCUCCCUUGCACUCACACACCACCCAGACUGCAUUCUCUGAUGGCAUUUGUUUCUCUGAGACUUCACUUAUCCAUGUGCCCUGGUGUCGUUUCCCAAUGCUGACCUUUCAGAAACCACAGGGUGAUGCUUCUCCCUUAUCCCAGCAAAGUGCAAUUGUAGAAUUUAGGGAAAAAAAAAAAAAAAGUGGGAAAAAAAAUGAAAAGAAUUUAAAAAAACCCUCUUAAUUAUUAAUACGUUUCAAAAUUGUCCUCUUAUGUUCUGGAAACUGCAGUAAAAUGUCUCAUGAUCUAGAGUUUUUUUCCCAGUAAGUUAUUCUCAGUAAAUCUUGCCUACUGGUUGCACGCAUACACAUUUAGAUAUCUCAGAUCUGUCUUUAUAUACACUUUCUCCUCAUGAAAAUCAUUCUGACUACAUAACAGGCAUGUGGGAACUUGCAUAAAUUAUGCUGAUUAUAUAUGAUUCAAACUAUAAAACACAAAAUUACAUUGCAUUUUUGAUAAGCAUAUACACAUACCAUGAGAUGCGUGAAAGGUCAGACUGGAAGUUCCUCCUUCUCGUAUGUGAAUACAUGAUUUUUUAACUAAACAGCCCUACUGGUUUAAAUCAGCCUGGAUAAGAGGCUGUACAUAAGACAACCGCCUGGCCUUGUGUUCACACUGCUACAGGGCUCCAGCUUUGCAGCUUGACCUGUGCACAGCCAAAAGCACAUUUAAGUGUGUUAGCAGGCUUCUUUUUUCCACGGGAGUGCUCUUCCUGGAUGAAGGCCAUAAUGGUUAAGUCAGCUACCUGAUCAAGAACAUGACAGAGCUCCGACACAACAUUUAAUCUGAUAUCUCUGAGUUUAUUUUAAUUUUUAUCUACAGAGGUGUGCAGUCGUAAGUUAAGAAUUACAUUCUUACAGCAUUCCCACAGCAUGAAGAAGACAGAUUAACUUUCCACAAAUGACAGAGAAUGAAUAGGUUUUAGUAAAUUUGAUGAGAAUCACACCAGCAGAAUGGCAAUACUUACCAAAAGAAAAAAAAACACAGCAAUAAACCCUGAUUCUUUCAGAACAUUCAACCCUCUCUUUGAGUCCAUGUAUGCUUGCUUUCUUUUAACGUAGCUGACUUACACUGAAGUUUCCAAACCUGCUUCUUUAUGCACUGUCAUCCAAAUUCUGAUUUAGGUGCUUGUAUUCAGAAAAAGUGAAUGCUGUUUAGUCCACACAAAGACAGAUGCGUCCUCAAAGAACAGCUACACUUCGUUGGAGAACUGACAUUGCCAGCUUUUGACACCAGGAUUUGGAAGUACUGGUGCUAAGAGGCUGGAUCCAAUUACUCUUGUGUCGCAUGAGGACCUGCUUUAACACUAGGGUAGGUGCUGAGCCAACACUCUUUGAAGUCCAUUGAAAGUCUCCCAUUGACUUCCGAAGUAGGAUGAGUUGUGUCUGAAAUACACAGCACAAAUUUUUCUUCUCAGAUGCCAGAACUGGCCUCCUUUGAUAGUGUCAUAGGUGUGGAAAGUUAAUGCCAGCCAAAAUGCCUAAAAGACCCAUGCAGGUGCAGUUUCUCACACUUUAAAGAGAUGUAUGGAGCCAGUCUGUUUUUGCUGCUAUUCAUUUUAAUAUUUCUUGUGAUGUGAGGCACUACUUUUCACAAGGUGCUUUUUCUUGAUGCUUUCACACUUUUUCACACACUGGACCCUGCCUGGCACAUUCACCAAUCUCUGCAGCACUUCAGCAUGUUCUCUUAGGUAUUUUAGAGACUCUCACUCCUUAAAUACAUGGCAUACAUGCAGAGGAUGCACAUGCAAGAAACUUGUUGCUUAUUUGCUACCACUUUCGUAUAGCAGUCAGCGUGACGUUACACAUAGAGAGACUUGGUCUUAGCAAGACUAAAUGUAUCCUGCCAUACUGCACAAGAGACAAUCCUCAGUAAUUUUAUUUUCAGUCAUUUUCUAGAGAGCAAAAAACAGGUAAGCUUUUGUUCUAUGUAGAAAAAUGGUGGAAAACCUAGAAGAAAGAUUUGGGAUCUUCAGAAACUCUUGGCUCACAAAGUGAUGGUGAUGUACUAUAUGUCUAAAACUGCUUGUCUGGAUUAGAGCAGGACUGGCAGGUCCUGAUCCACUCAGAGCGGAGUGCUUUCUGCAUCUCUUUAGCUCAUGGGAAGCCACACUGAUUCCCACAGAGAUGCAAAGGUUGACUAACCAUUGUUUCAAGUACAGUGAGCCCAAUUCUAUGCCUAAAUUUGCAAGGAAACCUAUCAGGAGCUACAGAACAUUUGGAAGGGCAUCCCAGUAGCAUUUCUACUUAUUUCAUUUGCAAGGAGCUCUUCUAAUACUUCCAGCAAUUAAAGAUGUGCAAGGAUAACUGAGACAGAUACAGGACUCCUUACCUGUUCACCACUUCAGCACAUUUUCCACUUGGUAACAAUGUCACUCGUGCAUGUGUUUGGUGGUCUUCCCUGGCUGUGACCUCUGAGUAAUCUGAAUACUCUUGUAAAAAUCUGGAUCAUGCAGAACCCAAAUCAGAUUUUCCUGUUGUAGCAGGAGGAAAGCUUCUUCGGAGAUUCCUCCAUGCCAUAUUCCAGCAUACUACAGCUACUGGUUAUGACUGACUGCUUUGUUAUGGCUAAAAAAAGUAUAAAAUCUUUCCAGUAAAGCUUCUAGCAUUCAUUUAAAAAGGACACAUCUGGGUAAAGGUGAAGAUCACAAAGCUUAGCCCCAAGUAAAAAUAUGAAUGCAAUGGUCAGAAAAAUUUGAAUAUUUGUAGGAGUUUAAAAUUGAAAUUGACAUGUAAACAUGUAGCCACGUUUAUUUUCUGUACAUCUGUACAACUAUUUGUAAUAGAGAAAAGGCAGACACGUUAUUGAUUUCAAGUCUUUUUCUCUGGUGAUGAAAGCAAUGACUUUAAUGAAAAUAAUUAUUUGCAUGAUAAUAUUAAUGACAGUCAAAAUAAUGCCACCGUGUACAAAAAUGUGUGCUGAACAAAUAAGGGUCAGAAUCAGGAAUACUUAAAUUUGAAUAUUCAAUUAACAAUAAUCGAAAAGAUGUGGGGCAUGGUAUGUAAAUGAAAGUGUCCUGGGGCCAAACGUUCUCAACAGAGAAGCCAGCAAGAUAUUAAAAAAAACCACAUGACUUUGUUUUUCAGCUCAUGAGCAAAUACAUGUUGAAAAUAUGUUUAUUUGUUCUAACAGCAAAAACAAAUAUAUUCUAUAAUGUAUGUAUUAGGAGGAUGUAUAACUCACACAGCAUUCAUGGCUUGGAAAAUGUGACUACAUAACAGUAAGUGCUGUGGAAAGAAGGGGAAAAAAGGGAGAGCUGUAAGAAGGACAGAUGCUCAAGGAGAAAAAAACUUGCUAACCAGAGGCUUGUACAUGGACCACAUCAUCCUCUGUCCCACAUGCUGAUUUCUUGAGCAGCCUUUUGCCAAGAUAAAUUUUUUCUUGGACUCUAGAAUUUGUAGGAUGUGCUUGGCUUGCGUUGAGAACACAGCAGUUUCUUCUCCACACAAACAUCUCUAUCUAGUGAGGCUUGGUAUAAACAGAAAGACUGCCUCACUAAUUAUUUAUACAAAGACAUAGAUAGCUGCAUUCUGGAACGUUCAUAGGAACAAUAAUCCUUUUUUUGGGGUGAUCUUACUGGGUUUUUGACUUUCAGGGUUGUGAGAUGCUGUGGAAAAGCAUCUAGACCUUCAUCUGUAAGAAAGUAAUUUACAGAUUAACUGCAAUGAUUCAUGCAGAUAUGUAUAUUCUCUCACUUCAGAGCGUUGAUAUUGCUUUUUUAGUAGUAAGGUAUUUAUCAAAAGCAGGACUUAUCCAGAUAAAGAGUGCUUCUUUCUACCUGGCCUCUUGGCUUUUGAGUAAGCUGCGUGAGUAAGCAGUGCAACUGAGCUACUAGGACUGACCUUAGUGUAAGUGUUUACAUUAAGAGAAGAUUCCUACAUGUCCUGGAAAUGUACUGCUUUCACCUACUCCAGCAAACAUGAUUUUCAUGAAAUUAAUAAGAUUACUUUUAUGAGACAAGUGCAACUCAUUCAUAAGUGUUUUCAGAAUCAAAGCAACAGUUUUAUUAAUUACACCCCAUUCUCUUUCCACAUUUCUCCCCACUUUCAGACUAAAGAUUUGAAUUACUGAAACAAUAUUAGAAAGGGGAGUAGGAGAAAAUAAUUUUCUGAAUGUUUCACAUACCAUUGUCCUUAUCCUCUCAUUUGAGCAUGAAAUAGAGAAGCAACACGGCAAGCCCUUAGCAGCUUGCAGAAAAGCAACAGUGCAAACAGGGAAGAGAAGAAGGAAUAACACAGUCAGUGGAAAAACAUGCUGCAUUUUGGACAGGCAGAACACUGGUGAACUGCAGUCACCUCAGACCUUAAACUGAACCUUGCAAGUAGUCUUACUCUAUUUUAAGCAGGUCUUAAGGAACUGUGGGAUUGAGUCUCAGUUUAGACUCUGGGAUUAGCAUUCCUCCUGUGCAAAGAACCAUGGAAUUUUAAUGAAUACAAGUAGUCAGAAUUUCUACUGUCUCCCAGAGAUUUGUUUAUUUACUAAUUUAGAGACAUGUUUAACAUCUUACUUUGGUGAUGCAUGUGUACCAGCACCAUACUGAGAUAAUGGUUAAAAAUCUGAUGCUGAGAAAAGAGGGGCAUCUGUGAGUCAUAUAUGCUCCCAAGCACAUAAAAAUGCUCUUUGAAAAUACUGUCCCUGACAUAGACCAUGAGAUACUAAAAGAUUACAGCAGUCACAAAGACAUCACACCAAGGAGUCUAGUUCACUUUCCUUUGGAAGUUUCUGCGUUUAAAAUAGAAGAGAAAUUUGAGGUAAUAUUUUAAUUUCUGCUGUAAACACAUGAGUAUUUUCUUCAGGACAGUGAUGUCCUUAGAAAUUUGGUCUUAGCACCUGAUUUAGUGAAAUAAAAUCUUGUUGAAACAACACAUCAUAUCCUUUACUCCAAGUCCACAAAGAGAUAUGGAUCUUAAUUCCACUGACAGAAACUAUCAGCCAUUUCCCAACUCUACAUUUCAACUGCUGCCUUUCUUUACUUCAGGAUAGGGGAAUUCUCUUGCUGCCCUGAAAGCAAGAACUGCUUUCAUUCCAUUAGAAACUCUCUUCCAUUAGAAACUCUCUUCCAUUAGAACUGCAGGGACCCACUGCAACACAAGACAAGGGAGCUGAGAGGGAACUUAGUGAAGCUGUAACCACAAUCAGCCAAAAACCUCCAUCCAGCUUGUGAAUCAAGGCACUUGGCCCUAGCACUUUGCUGGGUCCCAGACUUUGAGUACAUGAUCUGUAUGGUACCAAGAAGGGCAACCAAGCAAGCUGUUGUUACCUUUAGGAUGGGAUUUUUUAACCUGCAUUUUAAAUGAUUUGGGACAAGGCUUUCCAUUUCUUGUUGACAUUUGCUUUUGCAAAAAGUAAGUAGCUGUCUAUGUGAAAUCUGACCACACAGUUCCAAAAAUCUGGCUGCAUUCAUUCAGCACCAAACAGUAACAUGCAACGUGGUCAUUUUUAGUCAAUCUCAAGAAGAAUUAUGGAUAUUGGUUUCUUCUUAAAAUGAACAUAAAUUACAGCAAAUAUCAGGAAAGCCAAUAAACGCAAACCAAAAUAAAUAAAUAAAAAAAACUCAUCUCAACUCCCAGUUUUCCCAGAGCACUUUCUGUUGUUUCUGAAGUUAAGCCACACUAUCAGCAACCCUGUUUUAACAUCUUUACCUGCAAAAGUAUAUACUUAAUUAAUUUAUUUACUUCCUAAUGUCACAAGUAAAUGAUUAUUUACUGAAUUUUUAUCUUAAUAUUUAUAUAUGUUUUUGUUAAGAUUUAAAAGAGUUGCUUGAAAAAUAAGAUAUUCUGGAGUCAAAUGAAGCUUUGGUAAAAAACGGCUUGAUAAUACAUUCUCUAUGAUAAAUUCAGUAGGGUGAACAUUCGGAGUUGAAGUAGUGUUCCAUGACAUACAAAAUUUAUAAUAAAAGUGAAAUUGUGUUCUUAACAUCCUAUACAAUAAGCGUUUUUUUAAAGCAGAUAUCUAAUUACCUCUUAAGGCAAUUACUCUACUUGUCUCCCUGGUGACUCCACUCUCCUCAUAAUGCACUGAUCAAAUUUUUCAUGAUUAUUUCCCAAACAAGAAAAUGAUAUAUUUGAAAAAUCAAUAGCAAAGAGUUAGUCUUCUGCACGAUUCCUUAUACGUUCAAGAUAGUGAUCUUACCAGAAUGGGCCCUGUUAUUUUUAAAAGAUCUUUAGUUAGCAAAGUCAGUAGCAGUAAGGCCAUGGGACUGGUAGCAAAAAGUCAACUGCACAUCUGUACACUUAAUUUUGUGGCUAUAAACAACUACGUCACAUUUCAAGCAAUAACAAUGGGAUGGUUUUCAGCACCGCUCUACCAAGCAGGCAUGUUUUCUAUUUUCUUCUUGUAUAUACAAUUAAAAGCAUUCCCACCAGAGAAAUCUGCCCUGCAUUCACUUCAGAAACACAACAUGAGGAGAGAUGGCUCUCAAAAGUCAAAAUCCUGCCUUUAUUUGGACCACAUCAUAAAAGAAAAUACACUAUAUUUUCAGGGCUUCUAUCGAAAGUUUGAAUUCUCUGACUAAUUGUCAAUACUUACCACUGUAUUCAAUUAAUAAAGAAAUCUCCUUUCAACAGAGAAAUCUUUUUCAUUCUUUGUAGAAAGGUGGGUUUGCCUUUUAUCAGACAAGGGAUGAGGAACUGAGAACAGUAGGUAAAAGGCACGUUUAAAAGUCUUGCUCUAGGGG
Molecule: long non-coding RNA, 12691 nt
Organism: Gallus gallus (chicken)
Lineage: Eukaryota; Metazoa; Chordata; Aves; Galliformes; Phasianidae
Source: Ensembl